GUACUAAAGUAAAAAGAAAGAAGAUGGUAACUUCUCAUUUGUGUGGUCAUAAGACUUUUCCAAAUUCCUCCACCCUGUUUUUGUUCUCAUGGGACGACAUAUUCAAACCCAGAGCACAUUAAUGUCAAGCAAAGCAAGGAAAGAGUUAAACGUUUGUGAUAGGAAGAGUCAGAGGCAACUGUUGGUGGAGCCACCUGGUACCCAUUAAGGAGUAGUUAUGACAGAGGAGUGAGAGAUAAAGUAGGAAAGUUUUAUAGCGUAGGAGAGAAUGUGUAAGAGGCAGUGCUGGGUUAGUUGUAGAGGUAGUAAGCAAAGCCAGGUGUUUGAAGCUAUCAAGAGAGAAAAGAUUUAUAGGCCUCUUCAAUAGACAAAAAGCUACUUUCUUCUACUGCCUGUAGGUAAUGAGAUACUGGUUGGGCCUAAACCAGCUACGUGCUGAUGUGGAGAAGAUACCAAAGUAGUUAGUGUGAAGGUGACUGGAUCUUUGCUUAAGACUGUAACAAUGAUCCUAAGUCAACCUUCAAUGGAGGGGCUUACAGGUGUUCCAGGACAUGCCCUUCUCUGUCUUUCUUGUUAACCUUUCAGCAUUUAAAUUUUACAAGAAUCUGAAGAAUACCCUUGUCUGACCAGUAAGCUGGUAUUUUUUAGGACAUCAAUUGUAAAAAGUUGGGGUAGCAAAAAUGGCUCUGGGUGUCCACUUCUGCCAUGCAGUCUCCAUGACAGGCAGCAGUGUUGGAGCUUCAAGAGGAAGGACAAACCAUUACUUCUUGCCUUGCUCUAACCUGCAUACCAGGAUCCUCUUCCUUGAGUCAGCCUUGCAGAUGUGGUAACAAUGGUUUAAAAAUGCAAGUGUGAGAGCUGGCCCGACCGACCAGCAAUGACAAGGUUAAACUAUGGAUGUUUAGGAAAUUCGAGCAGGCUGCCUGUGCCAUAACAAAGCAAUGCUGGCCGUGGCUACCUGUUUCAGCAGACUUCUCCUGUUCUCCACGGGGCUCAGGGACUCAGCUGUGCCCUGCAAAGCUUCCUGUUUACGAUCGCGCAUCCUCCGAAAACAGCGCACGCUCUGCUUCCCACAUCUCUGAAGCCAUACAAGGAUCCAAUAACAUCCUGUGACUUGCCGUCACUGCAGUCCUUGUUUUUCUGAGAACUGACGGGAGAAGGCUCUCACAGGAUUGUUAACAAUUGGUCAUCACCUUUUGGAUGUGUCAGACUGCUGAGGACUCCAGGCUUAACUGACAAGGAAACAAUAUCAGCAAAACUUUUGGCCUUUGUUCCUGCCAUAUAUUGGUUCACAGUUUAUUGUGGCAGUUAGUGCGCUUCCUAUGUGGAGGAAACAUUUUGAUUUGAGGCUGGAUGUUACGUAGCCUCCAGAGCACUGGCUGAACUGGGACAGUAGCAUGGUUCAGUACUGAAUGGUCUUGGCAGUUGCACAGCUUGCCUGUUCUGGUCAUCUCCUCA
Cygnus olor (mute swan) is the source of this 1458-nucleotide long non-coding RNA. RefSeq lists it as uncharacterized. The record is from RefSeq and is a predicted model, not a curated record. Lineage: Eukaryota; Metazoa; Chordata; Aves; Anseriformes; Anatidae. The transcript has 3 exons.